CUUGUGGUUCAUAGAUAUCUUGAGUAGGUUUCCAUGUCAUUCUAUGAGAUGUGCCUAAUUCAAACCUUGUUAC
Molecule: small nucleolar RNA, 73 nt
Filed under: Marmota monax (woodchuck)
Lineage: Eukaryota; Metazoa; Chordata; Mammalia; Rodentia; Sciuridae
Source: RNAcentral